Long non-coding RNA from Hippoglossus stenolepis (Pacific halibut), 505 nucleotides. RefSeq lists it as uncharacterized. The record is from RefSeq and is a predicted model, not a curated record. The transcript is spliced from 2 exons. NCBI's taxonomy places the organism in Eukaryota, Metazoa, Chordata, Actinopteri, Pleuronectiformes, Pleuronectidae.
CGCUGACACCAGCUGUGCUACUGCUGCCGCUGUGGCCUCAGUAGCCUUCCCAGGCUACACUCUGGCGAGUCCGGCGUCGUCUGCGGUCGCCUCCCAGCUGAAGCAGGCGGUUUCUCUGGGUCAGGACCUGACGGCCUACACCACCUACGACGGCUACCCCGCCUUCGCUGUGGCAACACGCCACGCCGACGGAUACGGCGUUUUCUAGAGCCGCGGUUUCCAAAGAGUAAAAACACACAUAGCCAAGGCUGCGUUCACACUGUUGUGUCUUUUCAACAGGUUCUCAUUUCAAAUCAGUUCACUUAACGUUUAUCGCUGACUAAACUAAAUCAAACAUCAGUCGUCAAUCAGAGUGAAAAACAUCCACUGCUUGUUUCUGUAAAAACAAAAGCAGAACAGAGCGAUGCACCUUCUAUCCAACAGGGGGAUAAAACAACCUUUUGAAAACCGCUGCUGAAAAUGUGUCGGACUCGUCAGUGAAAUAAAUUCCUCACGUUCUUUACUU